GACGAACGCUGGCGGCGUGCUUAACACAUGCAAGUCGAACGAUGAAGCCGGAGCUUGCUCUGGUGAAUUAGUGGCGAACGGGUGAGUAACACGUGAGUAACCUGCCCUUGACUCUGGGAUAACUGCGGGAAACUGUAGCUAAUACCGGAUACGACCCUCGGAGGCAUCUCCUGGGGGUGGAAAGAAUUUCGGUCAAGGAUGGACUCGCGGCCUAUCAGCUAGUUGGUGAGGUAAAGGCUCACCAAGGCGACGACGGGUAGCCGGCCUGAGAGGGUGACCGGCCACACUGGGACUGAGACACGGCCCAGACUCCUACGGGAGGCAGCAGUGGGGAAUAUUGCACAAUGGGCGCAAGCCUGAUGCAGCAGCGCCGCGUGUGGGAUGACGGCCUUCGGGUUGUAAACCUCUUUUAGCAGGGAAGAAGCGAAAGUGACGGUACCUGCAGAAAAAGCACCGGCUAACUACGUGCCAGCCGCCGCAGUAA
RNAcentral lists this ribosomal RNA (484 nucleotides) under uncultured bacterium. RNAcentral describes it as "partial 16S ribosomal RNA". It matches the Rfam family "Bacterial small subunit ribosomal RNA", at positions 28 to 523 of the family's 1533-position model. The record is from RNAcentral.